AGAAGAACAAAACAACUCCGCAAUUUCCCAUAAUUCAAUUUCUCUUUUUCUCUUUCUCUCUCUCCCUUCGGCGAUCUUAAACUCUUAUCUGGGGCGGAGCUAGGUAGGGGCGAGGGGUUCAUCCGUAACCCCUUCGGCAAAAGAUUACACUGUGUGUUGACAAUAUGGAGCAUAAUGAGACGGGAUGCCAACCCCCUCCUGAAGGUCCUAUUUUGUGUAUUAACAACUGUGGCUUUUUUGGAAGUGCUGCAAACAUGAACAUGUGCUCCAAGUGUUACAAAGACAUGGUAUUGAAACAAGAACAAGCUAAGCUUGCUGUAUCAUCAAUUGAAAACCUUGUCAAUGGAUCGUCUGCCAGUGAGAAGGGAAUGGUUAUUGCUGGCCCCGUAGAUGUGCAACCUGAUACUAUUGAAGCACAGUCUAUAGCUUUGCCAUCAUCUCAAACUUCAAGCUCUAGUGAUAUGCCCGAUGUAAAGGCUAAGGUGGGUCCUAACCGCUGUGGCACUUGUAAGAAAAAGGUUGGCAUCACUGGAUUCAAAUGUCGCUGUGGUAACCUUUAUUGUGGAGCACACCGCUACUCAGAUAAACAUGACUGCCUGUUUGAUUACCGCUCUGCUGGCCAGGAUGCAAUAGCGAAGGCCAACCCUGUUGUUAAGGCAGAGAAGCUUGACAAGAUCUAGAAGGGGAGGGAGUAUUUGGUGAUUUGAUUUGGUCUCGAAAAGGGUCCUUCUUUGAUUGGCAAGAUAUAUCUUGAGAUCUUAUUAAUCCUGGGGGACGCAGAAGAAAAAACGAUAUGUGCAUGUUGAAGAAUUAUUAGGAGAAUUUGUGUGUUUGCUCGAUUGUCAGGUUUUUCAUUUUGCUGGUUUGAUAGCACUUUGAUUAUGUCUGUCAUAUGUCGUUCUUACUCACCUGGUAUUCUAUCAAAUAUUACAUGUCUUAUGUGCAAAUCUGGAUAUCAUGGAAAACAUCCAUCGACUUGGUUGUGUUUUGUCAUUGUAAAUUUUUCUGCAUGAUCUUUUGUAUGUAUCUAUCCAAUUUUUCGUGCCAUCUUCAG
RNAcentral lists this unclassified non-coding RNA (1054 nucleotides) under Hevea brasiliensis (rubber tree). The record is from RNAcentral. Lineage: Eukaryota; Viridiplantae; Streptophyta; Magnoliopsida; Malpighiales; Euphorbiaceae.